Molecule: RNA transcript, 11176 nt
Organism: Mus musculus (house mouse)
Lineage: Eukaryota; Metazoa; Chordata; Mammalia; Rodentia; Muridae
Gene: Srgap2
Gene name: SLIT-ROBO Rho GTPase activating protein 2
Exons: 22
Source: RefSeq, marked validated
CACUCUAGGACUGCGCCUAGGCAGCUAGUGUUCGCCACACCUCUAAGUUUCGUCAGCCCCGCCUCUACUCCUGGCGUCUAUGGAUCAGUUGUUCCUAUUGGCUAUAGUCCCCGUCAGUCGCUAUUAGGCGGGCGGUGAUUGGCAAAGGGGUGGGUUCAGCUUCCCGGCGGGGUCUUGCGGAGUUGGCGGAGUCUCCUUAGGGAACUGGGGGGCCGAACUGCGUAGAAGAGGGUGGCGGGGAGGAGAACGCUAAGUGGGAAGCGGAACCUUGGGCCUGGGACCGGUCGCGGCAGAGCCAGGCUAGUGAACCGGAGCAAAGACUUCCGACCCACUCUGCGCUGCAGCGGCACCCUUUUGGGAUUUGAUUUGCAGAAUCUUUGAGCUGGUAACACACACACACACACACACACACACACACACACACACAAUCCCGCGAAGAACGCCUAGCCCUCCUCUGGCACCCCAAGACAAACCCACUCCCUCCUAGGGACACAGCUGGGCGCGUCCACACCCCCGCAUCCCCUACACCAUGUUGUGCGGAAGGACUUCCACUCCCAGCCUGUGUCGUUGAUGUCAGACCCCAGGCCAGCCUCCGGGCGCUGCAGUUCUCCUGGUUAAUGCUGCGGUUGUGGUUAGGGCUUUAGUACUUAAGCCAGCCGCCGCCGCCCCCCACUUCCCCACCCCCGGCCUCAGCGCCCACAGUCUGCAUGUGUGUGCAGUAGCCGGCUGCCCAUCCCGCCGCUCGUGUUCUCCUGGAGCUCUGGAUACCACCGCGGGGCAUUUCUCUGCCUGUGGGAGAAGUGGCCUUGGAGGCAUUGAUAUCAGUGGUUGGAUUUUUCCCGUGGAUCUAUCAAUUCACAAUUCGGAUUUGGAAGAAAGAAGGAAAACAUGACGUCUCCAGCCAAAUUCAAAAAGGAUAAGGAGAUCAUCGCAGAGUACGAUACUCAGGUCAAAGAGAUUAGGGCUCAGCUCACAGAGCAGAUGAAAUGCCUAGAUCAGCAAUGUGAGCUCCGGGUGCAGCUGUUGCAGGACCUGCAGGACUUCUUCCGCAAGAAGGCUGAGAUUGAAAUGGACUACUCUCGAAACCUGGAGAAGCUAGCCGAGCGCUUUCUAGCCAAGACACGAAGCACCAAGGACCAGCAAUUUAAGAAGGACCAGAAUGUUCUUUCUCCAGUCAACUGCUGGAACCUCCUCUUAAACCAAGUGAAGCGGGAGAGCAGGGAUCAUACCACCCUGAGUGACAUCUACCUGAAUAAUAUAAUUCCUCGAUUUGUUCAAGUCAGCGAGGACUCAGGAAGACUCUUUAAAAAGAGUAAAGAAGUUGGCCAGCAACUCCAAGAUGAUUUGAUGAAAGUCCUGAACGAGCUUUACUCGGUCAUGAAGACAUAUCACAUGUACAAUGCCGACAGCAUCAGUGCUCAGAGCAAACUGAAGGAAGCAGAGAAACAAGAAGAGAAGCAAAUUGGCAAAUCAGUAAAGCAAGAGGACCGGCAGACCCCUCGCUCCCCUGACUCCACAGCCAAUGUCCGCAUUGAGGAGAAGCAUGUCCGGAGGAGCUCAGUGAAGAAGAUUGAGAAGAUGAAGGAGAAGCGACAAGCCAAGUACACAGAAAAUAAGCUGAAGGCCAUUAAAGCCCGGAAUGAGUAUUUAUUGGCUUUGGAGGCAACCAAUGCAUCUGUCUUCAAGUACUAUAUCCAUGACCUGUCUGAUAUUAUUGAUCAAUGUUGUGACCUAGGCUACCAUGCUAGCCUGAACCGGGCUCUACGCACUUUCCUAUCUGCUGAAUUAAAUCUGGAACAGUCAAAACAUGAAGGUCUGGAUGCUAUUGAAAAUGCAGUAGAAAACCUAGAUGCCACCAGUGACAAGCAACGGCUCAUGGAGAUGUACAACAAUGUUUUUUGCCCCCCUAUGAAAUUUGAAUUCCAGCCCCACAUGGGAGAUAUGGCCUCUCAACUCUGUGCCCAGCAGCCUGUCCAGAGUGAGCUGGUGCAGAGAUGCCAACAGCUGCAGUCUCGCUUAUCCACUUUGAAGAUUGAGAAUGAAGAGGUGAAAAAGACAAUGGAGGCCACCCUGCAGACCAUUCAAGACAUUGUGACUGUUGAGGAUUUUGAUGUAUCUGACUGCUUCCAGUAUAGCAAUUCCAUGGAGUCUGUCAAAUCAACUGUCUCUGAAACAUUCAUGAGCAAGCCCAGCAUUGCUAAGAGGAGAGCGAACCAGCAAGAGACGGAACAGUUUUAUUUCACGAAAAUGAAGGAGUACUUGGAGGGUAGGAACCUCAUCACAAAGCUACAAGCCAAGCAUGACCUCCUGCAGAAAACCCUGGGAGAAAGUCAGCGGACAGACUGUAGUCUUGCCAGGCGAAGCUCAACUGUGAGGAAACAGGAUUCCAGCCAAGCAAUUCCUCUGGUGGUAGAAAGCUGCAUCCGGUUUAUUAGCAGACAUGGCCUACAACAUGAGGGAAUUUUCCGGGUUUCUGGAUCACAAGUAGAAGUGAACGACAUAAAAAACGCCUUUGAGAGAGGAGAGGAUCCCCUGGCUGGGGACCAGAAUGACCAUGACAUGGACUCUAUAGCUGGUGUCCUCAAGCUUUACUUCCGGGGCCUGGAACACCCGCUCUUCCCUAAAGACAUCUUCCAUGACUUGAUUGCCUGUGUCACAAUGGACAACCUGCAAGAGAGAGCUGUGCAUAUCCGGAAAGUCCUUCUGGUCCUGCCCAAGCCCACUCUGAUUAUCAUGAGAUAUCUCUUUGCCUUCCUCAAUCACUUAUCACAGUUCAGUGAAGAGAACAUGAUGGACCCCUACAACCUUGCCAUCUGCUUCGGGCCCUCACUGAUGUCAGUGCCAGAGGGCCACGACCAGGUGUCCUGUCAAGCCCACGUGAAUGAGCUGAUCAAAACCAUCAUCAUCCAACAUGAGAACAUUUUCCCAAACCCCAGGGAGCUGGAGGGUCCCAUCUACAGCAGAGGAGGAAGCAUGGAGGAUUACUGUGACAGCACUCAUGGAGAGACUACCUCUGCUGAAGACUCCACCCAGGACGUUACAGCGGAGCACCACACAAGCGAUGAUGAAUGUGAGCCCAUAGAAGCCAUUGCCAAGUUUGACUACGUAGGCCGGACAGCCCGAGAACUGUCUUUCAAGAAGGGAGCAUCCCUGCUGCUCUACCAGCGAGCUUCUGAUGACUGGUGGGAGGGCCGGCACAACGGUAUAGAUGGACUCAUCCCCCAUCAGUACAUCGUAGUCCAAGACACGUUGAUAUCCUGAGUCUGCACCUUCCCAGCCUCUCUCGGGCUUGUUCUGCGGGGAAACCCUCCCUGUGUUGAUAACAUCGCAAACCUGGUGGCGGUCUGUGCACGGACAGGACUCUCCCAAAUUUAGCAUUAUGACUUCACCAUGGGAUCCAGAGAAGAUGAGCUGUGGGAGAAAAGGGGCUUUCUUUUUCAUCAGUAGCCAGAGGGGCCAGGAGAGCAAUGGAGAGACCUGAGACCAUCUUGAAUGCUCAGAGCGAGGCUACAUAUGCUACGACAGUGUGGCCAUGUGUCCACACCAUGCCUCAUCGCUGGCAUCUCCCUCCAGAGCCACUUCAGAGCUGCCUGUCAUUACCAGCAGCACUCAGAACUUCAGCAGAUAAACUGCAACCUGAACCUCACCUCCUUCUCCAGGAGGUGGUCCCAUCGUGGCCACCCCACAAAAGCAGCAUGGGCCCAAAGGCAGAUGCUUUGAAUCCAGGUGUCCCCUAGCCAAGCUUUUCUGAGGAGCUGAGAAUCAAAUAGAACUCAGCGAACUAUUUAUUUAUUUAAGUGACCCUUCAAAGGCCCUCAGGUUCCCUUGCCUCUGCUCACAGAGCUAGCCCCAGACAGGGGUCGCUGCUGCCUCUGCGCUGUGUGGGGUUAUGUGUAUGUCCAGGGGGGCCAUCUUGCUGAUUUAACACUGCUUUUUGUGUUGUUUUCCCUUCUCCCUGCCUGCCUGUCCCUUCUACCCCAGCGAGGACGGUGUCGUGGAGAGGUCCAGCCCCAAGUCUGAGAUUGAGGUCAUGUCUGAGCCACCUGAAGAAAAGGUGACAGCCAGAACGGGGGCCAGCUGUCCCAGUGGGGGUCAUGUAGCUGAUAUUUAUCUUGCAAACAUCAACAAGUAAGCGCUGCUUUUCAUUUUCUGCUCCCCUCAAUGACUCACUCAGCCUCACCCCUAGCCUAACCCUUCCCCGCUCUGCUGGAAGCAGGGCUCCAGCUCCCCAGCCUAACAGUCUUCAUGUGUUGUUUGCUGCUGCAAGGCGUGUGGCCAGGCUGAGGAGAGGAGGCCGGUGUGGGUCUGAGGGCAGGCCCCAGCCUCCGACUGUCUGUUGUCAUCCUGUGGUACUCUGUGUGUUCCACAGUGUCUGUCUGCCCAGACUUCCUAGCAGUCUUAGCCAAACCUUCAUCAAAGCUUUGGUCACCUUUGCAACUUGGUUUUGUGCUGUUUCUUCUAUUUCUUAUCAGUGCCUUCACUUUUCCAACUCUUAUUCAAACCGUAUUUGAUAUCUUCUUUGACCCUUGUCUGUCUGCAGAUUCAGAGUCUCAUAUGUCUCUCACCAAGCUAAUGUCCCACCAUGUGGGCUUGUUUAGAUGGCACGUGUCUGUUUCUCCCCAUCCUGCAUUCAUAGCCAUGGAAAAGAGAAGAGCACUGAGCCAAGGGAAGCUUUGUCCUGAACUCCUAAAUCAUCCUGUGAUUUCCCUUCGCUCCCUUUCACACUAGCAGAAAUCACUUUUCAUCUUCUCCUGUUGCUUUAGCACUGUGUAUUAUACUUCCCUGGCAGUCCCUCUGCAGAGUCCCCCCCACCCCCUGUCCGGCAGGCUUACACUCACCCCAGCUUUCAUUGUGGCCAUUAGCAGUAUUCUGAGGUUCUAACUCCAUCCACACCUGCUGGCUAUCUAGAGGGAUUCCUCGUUCGCCUGCCCAUGAGCUGCCGCCUUCCCAAGAGGCACUCAGGCUAUUGGAGAACUAAUCUCAUCUCAAGGGGCCAGACACCAAGUCCUACAGACCUCUUUCCGCCAGACCCUGAACUGUGGCCCAGUGCCAGGAGGAUGACAAGCCCCGGGGCACUCGUGGUGACCGUGGAUUGGAGAUGACGCACAGUUUGUAUUCCUCCUGACUUUGGAGGGGUGAAAUGAUUUGCACUUUGAUACCCUGUUAACCAUAGCCUCUGGACACUGAGACUGGAAGGAGAAUAAAAGAUGCUUAUUGUUGUUAAACUGCAUGAGGUUGCCAGAUCUCUUGGCUUUUUUCCAACCAGACAAUAGAGGGGUUGGGGGACAUGGUUCUUUCCUAUCUCUUUCCCCUCAAGUUCAUCUCGUUUAUUCAGCUCACUUACUAGAAUAGUCAUAAUUUAAUUCAAACCACUAAGCAAGUUGAGAAUUUUAUACUUCCCUCCAUCUACUAGGAGGGCAAGUUAAUAAAAAGUAGCUGCCAGCUAAUCACAUUUUUUUCAAUAUUUACAAGUCUGUGUUAAUUAUGCGUCUACAAUCACAAGGUCAUAAGCCUAUUGAGCCAGAAACCAAGACUGGAUGUUGAAGGGAAAGUUAGGUGUUUAUUUACACACAUUUAUUUUUGUUUUUAUGGUGUUGAGGGACAGAACUGAACAAGUCACAUAUUCAGAUGGAGAACCCCACUGCCAAGCUACAGCUUCAUCCCUGGGUAUUAAGUUUUAAGUCAGCAUAUAUUUGAUGCCACUUAUUACAAAGGAAUGAUAGAGAACAAAGGCUGAAAAUAGUCAAAAGAUAAACAACUGCUAGAACGUUGAGAUGGCUCCCUUGAACUGCUUGCUUGGUGGUAUCAAGAUUCUUCUGAUGAAUUUCCUGGGGCAGACUAUAACCAACCCAUGUCAACCUUUCCUAGGCACCAGCCAAUCAGUGCGUGAGUGACAGACAGCCCCCAUAUGCCUGGCCCUUAGGAGCGAGUAUGCCGUUCUGUCUUCCUGACUAUCUCCACAACAGUCCUCCCAUGCAACUUCAAUUUCCUGAUUGUCUAAAGAACUCUCUCCUCCUGGACCCUCUCAUUUGGUUAACUCCUCCUCACCCUCCAAGACUCACUCUAAGCAUUACUUAUUUGGGGAAGCCUUCCUGACACCCUAAGUUCCUUGAGGCUGAAAAAAAAAGUGCUCUCAUCCUGCGUUCUAGAAUGGCUUGAGUUGUUGGUGCUCAGUGCUAUCCAUGCCUGGUUCCUCCUUCAGGCUGAACUUGUAACCAGCAUCUCUGUCUUCAUGGCCCAAAUAGAGCCUGGGAUGACACACUGCCACAGCCUCCUAAAUCUGCCCUCUCAGCAGUUCUGAUUUGUGAGUCAGCCAUCCUUGAAUGGGAAAAGGAAAUCAGCAGAGUUCUUAGGGUGUGGCAUUUCACUUUAAUUCCACAUCCUAUAUUAACCAUCUGCGUUGUGCCAAGCACCGAUGCUAGUGAUUCAGAGCUCACAGACUGGCAAGGCAAAAGACCAUAUGGAAGGCAACUGAAACACAGUCCCAUGUAAUCACUGAGGGGAUAUGGGAGGGGAAAACCUCUCCAGUCUGUAGUUGGAGGCACUAGUGUCUGGAAAACUUGACAGAGGAGGGCUUAUUUCAGCAGAGCCCUCCUAGACUAAAAAGCAUCCUUUUUCUUGUUGAAAAUGGCUGCCUUCCAAGGCUAGUCCUACCUAGCCAUACAUGCUUAGAGUGGCUGCUGGGCACACCCUGCUGGACCCAGAAAGAUAAAGCAGAUCUCAGCUGUAAGCAGCAUAAGAACUUACUUCAGAUUUGGCCCCCAGUCUUCAGAGUCCUACCCUUACCAUCCAGAGACCCCACCCAGCUCAGCUCAUCUUCCUCAGUAGAUACAAGAUCAGAGCUACCCAGCUGCUAUCUGAACUAGCAGCUAGAUGGCAUCUUAGAUGAGGUCCUUUAAAAUCUGGUUUGAAAAAUGAAAUUAUUCAGCAUCGGACAAUACCCAUAUGACUAGGAUCCUACCACACCAUAUCGUUUGAGAGCCUUUUGUGGUAUGAAAUAAAUUGGCCCAGUGCUGGGUGACAUAGGAGUUGCAUAAAUGUCCUUUCCACCCUAGGAGCAGGCACACAGUGAGCCCUCUGUCUGUGCCAAAAAGCAGUUCCUUGAAAAAUCUUUUCCAUGUCUAUGAAUACGAAACAGCCUCUUACUAGAGCCCAAAUGAUGACAGGCUCAUUAUACAUAGUUGAGCAAACUGGAAACGUUAACUCCUGUUACCAGCAGUUCUCCCCUCCUUGGUGAUGAUGAGACUUUCUUACCUGGGGCCUUGGGCUGCUGUUCAGGCAGGCAGUGGAGUGGGUCUUUUCAUGACUCUUUUCUCCCACUAGAAACUUUCUCUUAAACAGGCAUUUUUUUCUGACAGCAUCUUACAUGUUUAGAACUCAAAGCUCACAGCCACCAAGUAAGUAUGCAUUUCACUCCGCCCAGGUUGGGGGUUGGAAGGGAACCGAUCCAGAGAGAAAACAAGAGAAAGAAAAGCUGGAGAGUUAGUGUAAUCUAUUUGACUCUCUUUAAAAGUCCCAGGUGCCAGCCUCUACCCCCUGUCACAAUCCUAGCUCCCUUGGAGCCAGGGCUCCCUGAUCAGAUGCCAUUUUUGUUUGUUGAAGGCAAAGGAAGCGUCCAGAAUCUGGGAGCAUCAGAAAAGCAUUUCGGAGUGACAGCCAUGGGCUGGGCAGUUCUCUGACUGACUCCUCCUCCCUGGGGGUGGGGGCUAGCUGCCGUCCAUCCUCCCAGCCCAUCAUGAGCCAGAAUCUCCCCAAGGAAGGGCCAGAUAAGUGUUCCAUCAGCGGCCAUGGCAGCCUCAACUCUAUCAGCCGCCACUCAUCCUUGAAGAACCGGAUGGACAGUCCGCAGAUCCGGAAGACCGCUACGGCAGGAAGGUCAAAAAGUUUCAAUAACCAUCGGCCCAUGGACCCUGAAGUCAUUGCACAGGAUAUUGAAGCAACAAUGAACUCUGCCCUGAAUGAGCUUCAAGAGCUAGAGCGGCAGAGCAGUGCUAAGCACACACCUGAUGUGGUUCUGGACACCUUGGAACCACUCAAGACCUCCCCGGUGGUAGCCCCCACAUCUGAGCCCUCCAGCCCUCUGCACACCCAGCUCCUCAAGGACCCUGAGCCUGCCUUCCAGCGCAGCGCUAGUACUGCUGGGGACAUUGCCUGCGCCUUCCGGCCUGUAAAGUCUGUCAAGAUGGCUGCUCCAGUCAAACCACCAGCCACACGGCCCAAGCCAACUGUCUUCCCCAAAACAAACGCCACUAGCCCUGGUGUCAAUUCAUCUGCUUCCCCACAGGCCACUGACAAGUCUUGUACUGUCUAAGGGGUAUAACAUAAUUAUUCUAGACAAGGAGACUGGCCGUUUCUAAAAUCUUCCUAUUUAAGUAGCUUGGGGACUCAGUUGAAAAUUAGGUUCUAAGUUGUUCUUACAGGAAUUAGCCUUCCCAUUACCCAGACCUCGAGAAUGAAGCCCUUGUUACUGCUUUCCCCGUUCUGGUCCUUCCUCCACUCUUUGCUUCCCUCUGUUGUUGGAAUCCAGCCAGCUCCAGUACAUACUGUUCUUAGGUUAGCCAGUGACAGGUUGUCCAUGAUCGGGUUGCUGCGAUAUCUGCCAAGGCAAGACAUAGGGACAUAAGCCUACGUCUGUCCCUUCAGACCAUAGAGGACACCUUGACCAGAUGUUUGGCUGCAGCUCUCAGUGACAUCUUGUUUUUCAGUACUGAUUUAAAAAAUCAUAUAUAGCCCAGUUUUCAUUUUAUAUAAAUAUAUAUAUAUAUAUUUGUGUGUAUGUGCAUGCACAUGCACACCCAUAUACAACACAGGUUUUUCUAGCCUCUCCUGGUCAUAGACCACUCUUUGUUGUGGUGGCAGUUCACACAGAAGCCACCUGGAGUCUCUGUUCUCAUCACAAACUUUGUUCUGUUUGGAACAGAGAAACCUGGCCUUUGAGAUCUCUGUCAUAAACAUUUAGCAGAAUGGGACAGUCCUGUGACCUGCCGUGCGGGUGGGAUUCUGUCUUCUUCCUCUUGCUGUGAGGGAGCCACCGGUUGUUUGCAUUUGCUCUGCUCCAUGCUGUAGAAGUGCAUCCUAGUCUUAUCUCGGAGCUUUGGAAGUUUUUCUGAACAUAGAGACUUUUCUUCCGUUCCUGUCUUUGUCUCUGACACACCAUUUUCCAUGUAAGAUGUUUUCCAAUAUAAGACAGUUCUAUAGCUAGCUCCUUUUAGAGUAAAAAGUCUUAAAGUUUUAUUGUGUUUAUGGCAGAUUUAAAAAGGGUAGGAAAUGAGUCCUUCUUUCUCCCACUAUUUUUGGCAUCUGAUACUUUUAAAAUUUGCCAUUCCAUUAAAAAAAAUUAAGUUGCUCUCUGCUAAUCCAAAAAUUGGGCCCAGAUUAAAACUAUUUCAAGUUCACCUCUUGGCUUAGUUUUGUUAUAAAGCUCUCGGGAUGAACAGGGGCUUGAAAAUCCCUCGAUAAAUUCUAGAAGUGCUGCCUCUUGAAACUGUUUUUUGUUUAUCCAAACAAGGGUGACUAAGGGAACUUUGACCUCCACCAACUCAAAACUGUUUUCCCAAAACCAGAAUCUUAAAAAAGGGAAAAACUGAAUGUGUCACAUUGGGUCCUGCCUUUGACCUUUUUCUACCGUUAGAUGCUCUCCCAACCUACAAGCCUGGUGCUUGAAACACUGGCUCUUUUACAUCGUGCUUCCCCAGGAGCACCAGAGCUAGGAAAUCACACCAUGGGAUCAUGUGUUUCAACAGCUCCCUGCCGCUCAGGCUCAUUCUCUGUUUCCUGGCUUGAAUGCUAUGCUUUUAUUUUAACUGUAUUGUUUUCUAUAGUUCAAGAGAGAUGGGUUUGUCAUUUGGGUUGGAAUCUCUGAGUGUUCUUAGCUUUGGGCUAGAAAUGAUCCUUUUGGACCAACUUGUGAAGCUGGCAGUUGAAUCUGUAGAAAGUGGUGGAUGCCUCUCUCUGAGUGAAGGGAAUGGGGAGCUUGAAGGAGUCACUAACGAGAAGAGUAACUUGCAGCACCAGGAAGACUGCCCCCUGAGCUAGAGCAGAGAGAGCUUGAGUGGUGUGAGUCUGACUGCAUGGGGCACCCCUUGGUCCUUUGGAUGUCUGAUCCUUGCUGUGCUUUUUACUGACCUGGGCUUGUACUGCUCCUGAGCCAAUAGGGGCUUCCAGACCCAAGGAUCCGUUUCCUUGAUGACUAAGAAGCCCCACCCUUCCCUUUUUACAUUCCUCCUAACCUAAGUGAGCAGAGUUUCCACCCUGCCCUACAUCCUCUCUCCAGGCACUACCCUCUAAGAAGGUAAAAGCAAAGGUUCUUGAAGACCAUGCUUUGGGCCUGUACUUUCCUUCUUGCCUUCUCUCUUAAUCCUGUACAUUAUUUGUGUUUUUUCAUCCCUUUGGUCCGAUGUCCAUCUGCUGAUUUGCAUAAUGAACUGGACAGUGUACAAGUGGUUCCCUACUAACCCCAGCUCUGGGAGCCUAGCUGUCUUCCUUAUCUCUGGUGCUUCUGACGCCUGUGAGACGGUCCUGUUAGAAGGAGUAGGAACCAGAAGGAGGAGAGUCCUCCGCAGCAGAGCUCACUUCAACUGGAAUUGAGGUUGCACACUGUGAUUUCACAACCAAAAGCCAAAAGGAGCCGGCCACCCCAGGCCUUAGGCAACCAGCCUUCCUCAAAUAGGCUUGCCUGAAACCAGCAUGAUGUUUCCAAGAGCCCUGCUCUGCCCCUCGUGGCAUGGAUCCUUUCCCUGGUGUGGACUUAAGUCUCUGGGGAAGAAAAGUGGGUGGGGCUACCAGCAUCCCAGUUUGGAAAGUAGAGGAGUUUGCCACCAGCAGCUUAGAAACUGGAAAUGCUGGUCUCUGCCAGCCUCCUCAGGCCACCCUCAUUUAUCCCCAAGGAGAUGAGAAAUCCUUCCAGUACCAGGAUGAACAGACCACUGGAAGGGCUGGUGUGCAUGGACUUCAGUUCAGAAGAGAACUUAGAUCUUCCAGGGAACUGCAGUGUUGUGGCGUCUGAUUUGUAUGUCACAUUUGUGUAAAAUGGUAUGUUCUUUAAAAUGGUGUUGAUAACUGGAAUAUUGUAUGUAUGCUUGAAGAUGCUUUGUGCGAACCUAAGACUCACUCAGCCAAUGCUGGAUUGGGAAAAAUCCAAAGCACAACUUCAAAAUAAAAUACAUUUUUAGGUUUU